UGAGGAAUUUUCCGCAAUGGACGAAAGUCUGACGGAGCGACGCCGUGUGUGUGAUGAAGUCUUUCGGGAUGUAAAACACUGUCGAGGGGGACGAUAUUGACGGUACCCCUGGAGGAAGCCCCGGCUAACUACGUGCCAGCAGCCGCGGUAAUACGUAGGGGGCGAGCGUUGUCCGGAAUUAUUGGGCGUAAAGGGCGUGUAGGCGGUUCCGUAAGUUGGUUGUUAAAGGUAUGGGCUCAACUCAUACAUCGCAUCCAAUACUGCGGUUCUGGAGAUUGGUAGAGGAAAAUGGAACUUCCGGUGUAGCGGUGAAAUGCGUAGAUAUCGGAAGGAACACCAGUGGCGAAGGCGAUUUUCUGGGCCAAUUCUGACGCUGAGGCGCGAAAGCUAAGGGAGCAAACAGG
Molecule: ribosomal RNA, 404 nt
Filed under: uncultured bacterium
Lineage: Bacteria
Description: bacterial SSU rRNA
Rfam family: Bacterial small subunit ribosomal RNA
Source: RNAcentral